RNAcentral lists this ribosomal RNA (584 nucleotides) under uncultured bacterium. RNAcentral describes it as "partial 16S ribosomal RNA". It matches the Rfam family "Bacterial small subunit ribosomal RNA", at positions 355 to 937 of the family's 1533-position model. The record is from RNAcentral.
UGGGGAAUUUUGGACAAUGGGCGCAAGCCUGAUCCAGCCAUGCCGCGUGCGGGAAGAAGGCCUUCGGGUUGUAAACCGCUUUUGUCAGGGAAGAAAUCUUCUGAGUUAAUACCUCGGGAGGAUGACGGCACCUGAAGAAUAAGCACCGGCUAACUACGUGCCAGCAGCCGCGGUAAUACGUAGGGUGCAAGCGUUAAUCGGAAUUACUGGGCGUAAAGCGUGCGCAGGCGGUUUUGUAAGACAGAGGUGAAAUCCCCGGGCUCAACCUGGGAACUGCCUUUGUGACUGCAAGGCUUGAGUGCGGCAGAGGGGGAUGGAAUUCCGCGUGUAGCAGUGAAAUGCGUAGAUAUGCGGAGGAACACCGAUGGCGAAGGCAAUCCCCUGGGCCUGCACUGACGCUCAUGCACGAAAGCGUGGGGAGCAAACAGGAUUAGAUACCCUGGUAGUCCACGCCCUAAACGAUGUCAACUGGUUGUUGGGAAGGUUCCUUCUCAGUAACGUAGCUAACGCGUGAAGUUGACCGCCUGGGGAGUACGGCCGCAAGGUUGAAACUUAAAUGAAUUGACGGGGUCAUAGCUGUUUCC